AUAGGAAUGCUUAGUGGCGGACUGGUGAGUAACGCGUGAGGAACCUGCCUUUCAGAGGGGGACAACAGUUGGAAACGACUGCUAAUACCGCAUAACAUAUAGAUGUCGCAUGGCAUUUAUAUCAAAGAUUUAUCGCUGAAAGAUGGCCUCGCGUCUGAUUAGCUAGUUGGUGAGGUAACGGCCCACCAAGGCGACGAUCAGUAGCCGGACUGAGAGGUUGAACGGCCACAUUGGGACUGAGAUACGGCCCAGACUCC
RNAcentral lists this ribosomal RNA (257 nucleotides) under uncultured Oscillospiraceae bacterium. RNAcentral describes it as "partial 16S ribosomal RNA". It matches the Rfam family "Bacterial small subunit ribosomal RNA", at positions 82 to 339 of the family's 1533-position model. The record is from RNAcentral. Lineage: Bacteria; Bacillati; Bacillota; Clostridia; Eubacteriales; Oscillospiraceae.